AUGACGGGGAAGAAGCGCAAGGCGGAGGCGGCGCGGCUGGACGAGACGGACCGGGCCAUGUACGGCGCGUUCCGGGGCGCCGCCAACUCGCUCUCGCAGCUCUACACGCUCGCCAUGGGCGGCCAGAAGCUCUCCUUCCAGGCCGGCGAGCGCCACGCCAUGGAAAAGCUGUAUGAAUGGAUCUUAAGACAGCAUGAAAAUGGUUUGAGGCUUACAGUUGGUGAUAUAGCCUCGCACGUCCAGCAUGAGAUUCAGUAUGGAGGCGACAAUCCAUUGGCCUCUCCAAGAUCACAAUAUGCAAGCCAAAGCACUCAUGCUACUGUGCAUAUGCCCAACACAAGCAACCAGCAACCAUCUGCAAGCUUAUUUGCACUAGGAAACCCAGGGUUGACGCAGCCCAAGAACUCGGCGGUCUUUUCUAACGCACUAUCCAGCCCCGUGCGCCGGGGCCUGCAACCAUACCAUCUGGAUCAGGGUGGGGAUGCAGGCUACUUUGCGAACGGCUUAGCCCGCGAGCCGAAUCCCACGGCUUCAAACGACUCAUCCAUGGACAUGCAUUCGGACAGCCCAGCUCACGACUCCUCCUGA
RNAcentral lists this ribosomal RNA (588 nucleotides) under Triticum aestivum (bread wheat). Its description in RNAcentral is "partial small subunit ribosomal RNA". Lineage: Eukaryota; Viridiplantae; Streptophyta; Magnoliopsida; Poales; Poaceae. The record is from RNAcentral.